AUGGGAAUUUCACUGAUGAAAUAAUUCUAGACAGAUUCUUGAAAAAUGAUUUUGAAAGGGGCAAGAUGAACACUUUUCGCGUCCCACGUUCCAAGGGAGAAGCGUCGACACUCGGCAAAAUCGUCAAAAUUGAGUUUUGGCGAGAUGUUGAUGGAGUGAGCAGUGACUGGUUCGUGGAUAAAGUUUUAAUUGAGAAUGUUGUGACCCGGGAUAUUUUUAUUUUCCCCAUUUUUCGUUGGAUUAAAGCCGGAUAUCAUUAUAUGAUAAAACAUUUAGAUACCUCGUUACCACAGUUUGAUGAGCAUCACAAACAGAGGAAAAUGGAACUAGAGAAUAAAAAAGAAGUUUAUGAAUAUGAACAGAAGUCGCCAGGUUUACCUGUGCAGAUCAAGAAAAUGCCAGCAACUGAACAGUUCUCCUUUGAUUACAUGUGGGAUAUUUUGAGAACAAAAGCAGAACUUUUAGCCACCAGUAAAUGUAUAAAGUUAAAAGCCGGCAGAUGGAAAAGUUUAAAACACAUCAAUAAUAUUUUCACAAAGAACGUUUUUCAUUUACCGAAGGGUGCUGGUGGAUGGAAAGAUGACGUUCAUUUCGGUCUUCAAAGAAUAGCUAGUGCCAAUAGUUCUCUGAUCAAAUUAUGUACGGCUAUUCCAGAGAAACUAGCAGUUAGCGAAGAGAUGCUCAAACCAUUAUUAGAAGGAAAUACGUUAGAAAGUUUGAUGAAACAGAAACGAUUAUUUAUCUGUGAUUUAGAGAUAUUAGAAGGUCUUUCAUGUAAACCUGGAUUUACGGUGUGUGUACCGAUUGCAUUAUUUAUGGUUGACAACGACAACAAAUUGCGACCGCUAGCCAUACAGUUAUUUCAGCAGCC
Molecule: long non-coding RNA, 871 nt
Organism: Patella vulgata (common limpet)
Lineage: Eukaryota; Metazoa; Mollusca; Gastropoda; Patellidae
Exons: 6
Source: RefSeq, a predicted model, not a curated record